This 71-nucleotide transfer RNA is filed under the name Muntiacus reevesi (Reeves' muntjac). It matches the Rfam family "tRNA". Rfam says of the family: Transfer RNA (tRNA) molecules are approximately 80 nucleotides in length. RNAcentral also lists the same sequence under 2 other names. The record is from Rfam by way of RNAcentral. Lineage: Eukaryota; Metazoa; Chordata; Mammalia; Artiodactyla; Cervidae.
UCCCCGGUGGCUCAGUGGUAAAGAAUCUGCCUGCAAUGCAGGAGCCCCGGGUUUGAUCCCUGGGUCGGGAA